AUCUCCGAGCUGCCGCCGCCUAACGUCCCGCCUUGGGGCCAUGGGACGGCAGCCGGGGCCGGUGCCAGUGCCGGCCCCCGGGGUGGGGAGCGGAAACGCCCCCGCCUUCCCUAUUUGAAAAGGAGAGC
This 128-nucleotide non-coding RNA is filed under the name human gut metagenome. RNAcentral's name for it is "Moco (molybdenum cofactor) riboswitch". It matches the Rfam family "Molybdenum/Tungsten riboswitch aptamer (Moco RNA motif)", at positions 12 to 120 of the family's 135-position model. The record is from RNAcentral.